GACGAACGCUGGCGGCGUGCUUAACACAUGCAAGUCGAACGGAAAGGCCCUGCUUUUGUGGGGUGCUCGAGUGGCGAACGGGUGAGUAACACGUGAGUAACCUGCCCUUGACUUUGGGAUAACUUCAGGAAACUGGUGCUAAUACCGGAUAGGAGCUCCUGCUGCAUGGUGGGGGUUGGAAAGUUUCGGCGGUUGGGGAUGGACUCGCGGCUUAUCAGCUUGUUGGUGGGGUAGUGGCUUACCAAGGCUUUGACGGGUAGCCGGCCUGAGAGGUGGACCGGCCACAUUGGGACUGAGAGACGGCCCAGACUCCUACGGGAGGCAGCAGUGGGGAAUAUUGCACAAUGGGCGGAAGCCUGAUGCAGCAACGCCGCGUGCGGGAUGACGGCCUUCGGGUUGUAAACCGCUGUAGCCUGUGACGAAGCGUGAGUGACGGUAAUGGGUAAAGAAGCACCGGCUAACUACGUG
RNAcentral lists this ribosomal RNA (468 nucleotides) under uncultured bacterium. Its description in RNAcentral is "partial 16S ribosomal RNA". It matches the Rfam family "Bacterial small subunit ribosomal RNA", at positions 28 to 507 of the family's 1533-position model. The record is from RNAcentral.